Molecule: ribosomal RNA, 390 nt
Filed under: uncultured bacterium
Lineage: Bacteria
Description: bacterial SSU rRNA
Rfam family: Bacterial small subunit ribosomal RNA
Source: RNAcentral
AUUGAACGCUGGCGGCAUGCCUUACACAUGCAAGUCGAACGGCAGCACGGACUUCGGUCUGGUGGCGAGUGGCGAACGGGUGAGUAAUAUAUCGGAACAUACCUUGUAGUGGGGGAUAACUAUCCGAAAGGAUAGCUAAUACCGCAUACGCUCUACGGAGGAAAGUGGGGGAUCGCAAGACCUCAUGCUAUAAGAGUGGCCGAUAUCUGAUUAGCUAGUUGGUGAGGUAAAGGCUCACCAAGGCGACGAUCAGUAGCUGGUCUGAGAGGACGACCAGCCACACUGGAACUGAGACACGGUCCAGACUCCUACGGGAGGCAGCAGUGGGGAAUUUUUGGACAAUGGGGGCAACCCUGAUCCAGCAAUGCCGCGUGAGUGAAGAAGGCCUUC